RNAcentral lists this ribosomal RNA (1343 nucleotides) under uncultured bacterium. RNAcentral's name for it is "16S ribosomal RNA". It matches the Rfam family "Bacterial small subunit ribosomal RNA", at positions 28 to 1378 of the family's 1533-position model. The record is from RNAcentral.
GACGAACGCUGGCGGCGUGCUUAACACAUGCAAGUCGAACGGAAAGGCCCUGCUUUUGUGGGGUGCUCGAGUGGCGAACGGGUGAGUAACACGUGAGUAACCUGCCCUUGACUUUGGGAUAACUUCAGGAAACUGGGGCUAAUACCGGAUAGGAGCUCCUGCUGCAUGGUGGGGGUUGGAAAGUUUCGGCGGUUGGGGAUGGACUCGCGGCUUAUCAGCUUGUUGGUGGGGUAGUGGCUUACCAAGGCUUUGACGGGUAGCCGGCCUGAGAGGGUGACCGGCCACAUUGGGACUGAGAUACGGCCCAGACUCCUACGGGAGGCAGCAGUGGGGAAUAUUGCACAAUGGGCGGAAGCCUGAUGCAGCAACGCCGCGUGCGGGAUGACGGCCUUCGGGUUGUAAACCGCUUUCGCCUGUGACGAAGCGUGAGUGACGGUAAUGGGUAAAGAAGCACCGGCUAACUACGUGCCAGCAGCCGCGGUGAUACGUAGGGUGCGAGCGUUGUCCGGAUUUAUUGGGCGUAAAGGGCUCGUAGGUGGUUGAUCGCGUCGGAAGUGUAAUCUUGGGGCUUAACCCUGAGCGUGCUUUCGAUACGGGUUGACUUGAGGAAGGUAGGGGAGAAUGGAAUUCCUGGUGGAGCGGUGGAAUGCGCAGAUAUCAGAAGGAACACCAGUGGCGAAGGCGGUUCUCUGGGCCUUUCCUGACGCUGAGGAGCGAAAGCGUGGGGAGCGAACAGGCUUAGAUACCCUGGUAGUCCACGCUGUAAACGGUGGGUACUAGGUGUGGGGUCCAUUCCACGGGUUCCGUGCCGUAGCUAACGCUUUAAGUACCCCGCCUGGGGAGUACGGCCGCAAGGCUAAAACUCAAAGGAAUUGACGGGGCCCCGCACAAGCGGCGGAGCAUGCGGAUUAAUUCGAUGCAACGCGUAGAACCUUACCUGGGUUUGACAUGGAUCGGGAGUGCCCAGAGAUGGGUGUGCCUCUUUUGGGGUCGGUUCACAGGUGGUGCAUGGCUGUCGUCAGCUCGUGUCGUGAGAUGUUGGGUUAAGUCCCGCAACGAGCGCAACCCUUGUUCACUGUUGCCAGCACGUUAUGGUGGGGACUCAGUGGAGACCGCCGGGGUCAACUCGGAGGAAGGUGGGGAUGACGUCAAGUCAUCAUGCCCCUUAUGUCCAGGGCUUCACGCAUGCUACAAUGGCUGGUACAGAGAGUGGCGAGCCUGUGAGGGUGAGCGAAUCUCGGAAAGCCGGUCUCAGUUCGGAUUGGGGUCUGCAACUCGACCUCAUGAAGUCGGAGUCGCUAGUAAUCGCAGAUCAGCAACGCUGCGGUGAAUACGUUCCCGGG